RNAcentral lists this ribosomal RNA (492 nucleotides) under uncultured bacterium. Its description in RNAcentral is "partial 16S ribosomal RNA". It matches the Rfam family "Bacterial small subunit ribosomal RNA", at positions 29 to 507 of the family's 1533-position model. The record is from RNAcentral.
AGUGAACGCUGGCGGUAGGCCUAACACAUGCAAGUCGAACGGCAGCACAGUAAUAGCUUGCUCUUACGGGUGGCGAGUGGCGGACGGGUGAGGAUUACAUCGGAAUCUCCUUUUUCGUGGUUGAUAACGUUGGGAAACUUACGCUAAUACCGCUUCCGACCUACGGUUGAAAGCAGGGGAUCUUCGGACCUUGCGCGAUUGAAUGAGCCUAUGUCGGAGUAGCUAGUUGGCGGGGUAAAGGCCCACCAAGGCGACGAUCCGUAGCUGGUCUGAGAGGAUGAUCAGCCACACUGGAACUGAGACACGGUCCAGACUCCUACGGGAGGCAGCAGUGGGGAAUAUUGGACAAUGGGCGCAAGCCUGAUCCAGCCAUACCGCGUGGGUGAAGAAGGCCUUCGGGUUGUAAAGACCUUUUGUUGGGAAAGAAAAGCAGCAGGUUAAUACCACGCUGUUCUGACGGUACCCAAAGAAUAAGCACCGGCUAACUUCGUG